CAGCCGCCGCGGUAAUACCGGCGGCCCGAGUGGCGGCUACUAUUAUUGGGCCUAAAGCGUCCGUAGCCGGGCUGGUAAGUCCUCCGGGAAAUCUGGUCGCUUAACGAUCAGACUUCCGGAGGAUACUGCUGGCCUAGGGACCGGGAGAGGCCGAGGGUAUUCCCGGGGUAGGGGUGAAAUCCUGUAAUCCCGGGAGGGCCACCUGUGGCGAAGGCGCUCGGCUGGAACGCGUCCGACGGUGAGGGACGAAGGCCAGGGGAGCAAACCGGAUUAGAUACCCGGGUAGUCCUGGCUGUAAACGAUGCGGACUUUGUGUCGGACAAGCUAUGAGCUUGUCCGGUGCCGGAGGGAAACCGUUAAGUCCGCCGCCUGGGGAGUACGGCCGCAAGGUUGAAACUUAAAGGAAUUGGCGGG
Molecule: ribosomal RNA, 414 nt
Filed under: uncultured microorganism
Description: bacterial SSU rRNA
Rfam family: Archaeal small subunit ribosomal RNA
Source: RNAcentral